RNAcentral lists this ribosomal RNA (496 nucleotides) under uncultured bacterium. RNAcentral's name for it is "bacterial SSU rRNA". It matches the Rfam family "Bacterial small subunit ribosomal RNA", at positions 28 to 517 of the family's 1533-position model. The record is from RNAcentral.
GAUGAACGCUAGCUACAGGCUUAACACAUGCAAGUCGAGGGGCAGCACAGUGUAGCAAUACAUGGGUGGCGACCGGCGCACGGGUGCGUAACGCGUAUCCAACCUUCCCGUUACUCAGGGAUAGCCUUCCGAAAGGGAGAUUAAUACCUGAUGGUAUCAGAAUUUCGCAUGUUAUUCUGAUUAAAGAUUUAUCGGUAACGGAUGGGGAUGCGUGACAUUAGGUAGAUGGCGGGGUAACGGCCCACCAUGCCUACGAUGUCUAGGGGUUCUGAGAGGAAGGUCCCCCACACUGGAACUGAGACACGGUCCAGACUCCUACGGGAGGCAGCAGUGAGGAAUAUUGGUCAAUGGUCGGAAGACUGAACCAGCCAAGUAGCGUGAAGGAUGAAGGUUCUAUGGAUUGUAAACUUCUUUUAUACGGGAAUAAAACCACCUACGUGUAGGUGCUUGUAUGUACCGUAUGAAUAAGCAUCGGCUAACUCCGUGCCAGCAGCCG